Molecule: long non-coding RNA, 210 nt
Filed under: Mytilus galloprovincialis (Mediterranean mussel)
Lineage: Eukaryota; Metazoa; Mollusca; Bivalvia; Mytilida; Mytilidae
Source: RNAcentral
AUCAAUAAUUAAAAAUAGUCUAUUUAUAUUAAAAAGGAAAAGUUCUUAUAUGUCUUAAAAAUGCAUUUCAUGGCGAGGUACAGAAACUAUACUGUAAACAGUAGACUAUAGAUAUAGGUGAACUAGGUACAAGAGAACUCUAAAUCUUAAAUACUACAAACCACCUCUGUUCUAUGGAAGAUAAUGAUAUAACUGGACCAGAAAUACACA